AAACUAACAAGGAUUCCCCUAGUAACUGCGAGUGAAGCGGGAAAAGCUCAAAUUUAAAAUCUGGCGGCUUUGGUCGUCCGAGUUGUAUUCUAGAGAAGUGUUUUCCGCGUUGGACCGUGUAUAAGUCUCUUGGAAUAGAGCGUCAUAGAGGGUGAGAAUCCCGUCUUUGACACGGACUACCAAUGCUUUGUGAUACACUCUCAAAGAGUCGAGUUGUUUGGGAAUGCAGCUCAAAAUGGGUGGUAAAUUCCAUCUAAAGCUAAAUAUUGGCGAGAGACCGAUAGCGAACAAGUACCGUGAGGGAAAGAUGAAAAGCACUUUGGAAAGAGAGUUAAACAGUACGUGAAAUUGCUGAAAGGGAAACGCUUGAAGUCAGUCGCGUUAGCUAGAACUCAACCAGGCUUGCUUGGCGUAUUUUCUAGUUAACGGGCCAGCAUCAGUUUUGACCGCAGGAAAAGGGCCAGGGAAAUGUGGCAUCUUCGGAUGUGUAUAGUCUCUGGUCGUAUACUGUGAUUGGGACUGAGGACCGCAGCACGCGCAAGCUGUGCUUAGGAUGCUGGCGUAAUGGCUUUAAACGACC
RNAcentral lists this ribosomal RNA (580 nucleotides) under Irpex lacteus. RNAcentral's name for it is "LSU rRNA". It matches the Rfam family "Eukaryotic large subunit ribosomal RNA", at positions 62 to 649 of the family's 3401-position model. Lineage: Eukaryota; Fungi; Basidiomycota; Agaricomycetes; Polyporales; Irpicaceae. The record is from RNAcentral.